Podarcis lilfordi (Lilford's wall lizard) is the source of this 82-nucleotide non-coding RNA. The record is from the annotation of a GenBank genome assembly. NCBI's taxonomy places the organism in Eukaryota, Metazoa, Chordata, Lepidosauria, Squamata, Lacertidae.
UAAAGGGCAUAGGUCAGUGGUAGAGCAUCUUCCUUGCAUGCAAAAGGGCCCAGGUUCAAUCUCUGGUAAUCUCUUUUUUUAA